Molecule: ribosomal RNA, 468 nt
Filed under: uncultured bacterium
Lineage: Bacteria
Description: partial 16S ribosomal RNA
Rfam family: Bacterial small subunit ribosomal RNA
Source: RNAcentral
GACGAACGCUGGCGGCGUGCUUAACACAUGCAAGUCGAACGGAAAAGCCCUGCUUUUGUGGGGUGCUCGAGGGGCGAACGGGUGAGUAACCCGGGAGUAACCUUCCCUGGACUUUGGGAUAACUUCAGGAAACUGGGGCUAAUACCGGAUAGGAGCUCCUGCUGCAUGGGGGGGUUCGGAAAGUUUAGGCGGAGGGGGCUGGAUGCGGGGCUUAUGAGCUUGUUGGGUGGGUAGUGGCUUACCCAGGCUUCGAAGGAUAGCCGGCAUGGGAGGGGGGACGCGGACCAUGGGCCUGAGAGAGGGAGCAGACGCCAAUGGGAGGCAGCAGGGGGGAAUAUUGCACAAUGGGCGGAAGCCUGUUGAAGAAACGCCGCGUGCGGGAUGAAGGCUUUCGGGUGGUAAACGGCAUUAGCCUGUGACGAAGCGUGAGUGACGGUAAUGGGUAAAGAAGCACCGGCUAACUACGUG